CAGCAGCCGCGGUAAUACGAAGGGUGCAAGCGUUAAUCGGAAUUACUGGGCGUAAGGCGUGCGUAGGCGGUGAGUUAAGUCUGCUGUGAAAUCCCCGGGCUCAACCUGGGAAUGGCAGUGGAUACUGGCUCGCUAGAGUGUGUCAGAGGAUGGUGGAAUUCCCGGUGUAGCGGUGAAAUGCGUAGAGAUCGGGAGGAACAUCAGUGGCGAAGGCGGCCAUCUGGGACAACACUGACGCUGAGGCACGAAAGCGUGGGGAGCAAACAGGAUUAGAUACCCGCGUAGUCCCUGUCUCUUAUAC
RNAcentral lists this ribosomal RNA (301 nucleotides) under uncultured bacterium. RNAcentral's name for it is "partial 16S ribosomal RNA". It matches the Rfam family "Bacterial small subunit ribosomal RNA", at positions 509 to 807 of the family's 1533-position model. The record is from RNAcentral.